AGUCUAGACAUCCUUUCUGGAUAGUCCUUAGCCGGACUAGCCCUUCGGGCAGAAGAGACAGGUGUGCAUGGUUGUCGUCAGCUCGUGUCGUGAGAUGUUGGGUUAAGUCCCGCAACGAGCGCAAACCCUUGUGUUUAGUUGCCAACAGGUAAAGCUGUGCACUCUAGACAGACUGCCGUGGAAAACACGGAGGAAGGUGGGGAUGACGUCAAAUCAUCAUGCCCCUUAUGAUCUGGGCUACACACGUGCUACAAUGGCCGGUACAACGGGCAGCGAAGGAGCGAUCCGGAGCGAAUCCUAAAAAGCCGGUCCCAGUUCGGAUUGCAGGCUGCAACUCGCCUGCAUGAAGUUGGAGUUGCUAGUAAUCGCGAAUCAGCAUGUCGCGGUGAAUGCGUUCCCGGGUCUUGUACACACCGCCCGUCACACCAUGGAAGUUGGGGGCGCCCGAAGCCAGUGGCCCAACCGCAAGGAGGGAGCUGUCGAAGGUGAAACCAAUGACUGGGGUGAAGUCGUAACAGGUAACCGU
RNAcentral lists this ribosomal RNA (526 nucleotides) under uncultured bacterium. Its description in RNAcentral is "bacterial SSU rRNA". It matches the Rfam family "Bacterial small subunit ribosomal RNA", at positions 977 to 1503 of the family's 1533-position model. The record is from RNAcentral.